This 440-nucleotide ribosomal RNA is filed under the name uncultured bacterium. RNAcentral describes it as "partial 16S ribosomal RNA". It matches the Rfam family "Bacterial small subunit ribosomal RNA", at positions 339 to 795 of the family's 1533-position model. The record is from RNAcentral.
CUACGGGACGCAGCAGUGGGGAAUUUUGCACAAUGGACGCAAGUCUGAUGCAGCAAUACCGCGUGAGUGAAGAAGGCCCUUGGGUCGUAAAGCUCUUUGUUUAGGGGAAGAUAAUGACGGUACCCUAAGAAUAAGCACCGGCUAACUCCGUGCCAGCAGCCGCGGUAAUACGGAGGGUGCAAGCGUUGUUCGGAUUUACUGGGCGUAAAGGGCGCGUAGGCGGUUUGUUAAGUUAAGGGUGAAAUCCCGGGGCUCAACCCCGGAACUGCUCUUAAAACUGGCAGACUAGAGACAGAUAGAGGUGAGUGGAAUUCCUGGUGUAGAGGUGAAAUUCGUAGAUAUCAGGAGGAACACCGGUGGCGAAGGCGGCUCACUGGAUCUGUUCUGACGCUGAGGCGCGAAAGCGUGGGGAGCAAACGGGAUUAGAUACCCCCGUAGUC